This 99-nucleotide signal recognition particle RNA is filed under the name Chlamydiia bacterium. Its description in RNAcentral is "signal recognition particle sRNA small type". It matches the Rfam family "Bacterial small signal recognition particle RNA". Rfam says of the family: The signal recognition particle (SRP) is a universally conserved ribonucleoprotein involved in the co-translational targeting of proteins to membranes. Lineage: Bacteria; Pseudomonadati; Chlamydiota; Chlamydiia. The record is from RNAcentral.
GCCGGGGAACUUGGGGAAGGGAAGUCUUCGAACCAGGUCAGGAUAGGAAUAUAGCAGCCUUAAGAGGUCGCUUUCUUGCCUCAAGCCCUCUCCGGCAUU